RNAcentral lists this long non-coding RNA (1183 nucleotides) under Brassica rapa (field mustard). RNAcentral describes it as "long non-coding RNA (BRAP_LNC002962)". Lineage: Eukaryota; Viridiplantae; Streptophyta; Magnoliopsida; Brassicales; Brassicaceae. The record is from RNAcentral.
AAAAGAGAUGAAACUUUCGAUAAGUUAUGUAAACUCAGAACAAGUAUUUAGCUUUAGAAAGCAUUUACAUGUUUCAAACUUAUAAUAUAUACAUAUAUAAUGUUUAAAAUUAUGCAUAUAAAACCUGUGUAAAAUGUGCCUGAAUAUGUUUCUCUUCUUUAAUGUGUUAAUCGUACUAUAUAUAUCAUUAUUUUAAAAUUUCAAAAAGUUUAUGUCACAUACAAAAAACCAUCAAUAAAAAAUAUAAUUCUCCAUCUACAACAAGAAAAAUGAAAAAUUAUAAACAUAUAAAUUUAAACUAAGAAAAACUAACAUUGAAAAAAUAAGAAGUUAAUGUAAAAGAAAAAAAAACCGACAAAUAAUAUUAUAAAUAAAAUAAAUUUAUAAGACACAAUCCGCGCGAAGAAAAAAUCUCUAGUUCAUAUAAGAAAAAGAACGGAGUGAGAGUAAAUCUAUCUGUUGACCAAGAAAAGAGUACUUAAAUCACUAACAAGUCGGUCAACUCGGUUUAUUCCGGUUUGUGACGGUUCAUCUCGGCCUAAUCAGAAGUGAUGUUCAGAUACAUUGUGUUACAUCGGUUAAGACUUCUUCUCUAUCACUUAGAAACCUCUCUGAAUCUGUGCUUUGCCCUCCCGGAAGUGCCUAUGGUCUCAAUGUCGUUACCUUCUGGUGGAAGCGGAGCCAAUGAUCUUCACCUAUGUGUUCGAUUCGAGCCACAUGAGCGCGAUGAUGAGCUUCUUGAGCGCUAAUCUUAAUCAAUUUUCCUCACUUUUGCUUUACAGUGUUCACUGUGUUCAUAUGUCACUGUGUUCAUAUCUCAUUUGUGUUAUGCCAAAAAGCAUUAGAUAUUAUAUCAAAACAGUUUCAUAAUCUAAGAAGGGUCUAGGUUUAAAAAUGUUGAAUCUUGAAACUAUUAGUCUACAAAAUGUUCUUCUUUGGCAACAACAUGUAUCUAAAUUGUGGGCCUAAACAAUAAUGAAAGUUCUCAUCUUUGGGUAAAAAAGUUUGUGCAUUUGUGGUUGUGCUCAGUUCAGCUUUUUCUCAAACUUUGUGAGUUGUGAUGACAGAACAUACUGAUGUGAGCUGUAUCUUGUUCUUUGAUAAAGAAUGUGACUUUUGUAGUGGAAUAUUCAAGAUUAACAACCUGUUUAGACUUCCUAGGUUCUGUUAUGUCUUAUGUGGA